GCCUGAGAAACGGCUACCACAUCCAAGGAAGGCAGCAGGCACGCAAAUUACCCAAUCCCAGCUCUGGGAGGUAGGGACGAAAAAUAACAAUGCGGGACUCUUCCGAGUUUGCGUAAUUGGAAUGAGUACACUUUAAAUCCUUUAACCACAACCAAUUGGAGGGCAAGUCUGGUGCCAGCAGCCGCGGUAAUUCCAGCUCCAAUAGCGUAUAUUAAAGUUGUUGCGGUUAAAAAGCUCGUAGUUCGAGUUCAGUUCCGGACUGGCUGGGGAGGUCACCGCCCGGUGCUUCCCCGUCAGGCUCCGAACAGCUUUUAUAAACUAAAAGCCAAGUCGGUUUCGCCGGGGUGCUCUUCACCGAGUGUCCCGCGCGGCCGGCCAGUUUACCUUGAAUAAAUGAGAGUGCUCAAAGCAGGCUACUCUUAAAAAUAAAGCCCGAAUGUUACCUGCAUGGAAUGAUGGAAGAUGAAUCUCGGUUCCAUUUUAUUGGCUCUGGGAAUCCGAGUUAAUGAUAAACAGGGACGGUCGGGGGCAUCCGUACUACGACGCGAGAGGUGAAAUUCAGUGACCGUCGUAGGACGAACAACAGCGAAAGCAUUUGCCAAGAAUGUCUUCGUUGAUCAAGAACGAAAGUUAGAGGAUCGAAGGCGAUCAGAUACCGCCCUAGUUCUAACCCUAAACGAUGCUGACUAGCAAUCCGCCGUCGUUAUUCCCAUGACGUGGCGGGACGCCCCCGGGAAACCAUAAGUCUUUGAGUUCCGGGGGUAGUAUGGUUGCAAAACUGAAACUUAAAGGAAUUGACGGAAGGGCACCACCAGGAGUGGAGCCUGCGGCUUAAUUUGACUCAACACGGGAAACCUCACCAGGCCCGGACACCAGAAGGAUUGACAGAUUAAGAGCUCUUUCUCGAUUUGGUGGGUGGUGGUGCAUGGCCGUUCUUAGUUGGUGGAGUGAUUUGUCUGGUUAAUUCCGGUAACGAACGAGACUCUGGCCUACUAAAUAGUCGACGGGCGUUUUUGUGCAUGGGCCCCGUUCGACAAUGUCUUCUUAGAGGGAUGAGCAGCGAGUAUAGCUGCAGGAGAUUGAGCAAUAACAGGUCUGUGAUGCCCUUAGAUGUCCUGGGCCGCACGCGCGCUACACUGAAUGGGUUAGCGGGUUCUCCUUCUCCGAGAGGAGCGGGAAAUCGCGUGAAAACCAUUCGUGAUAGGGAUUGGGGCUUGCAAUUGUUUCCCAUGAACGAGGAAUUCCCAGUAAGCGCAAGUCAUCAGCUUGCGUUGAUUAAGUCCCUGCCCUUUGUACACACCGCCCGUCGCUACUACCGAUUGAAUGAUUUAGUGAGGCCUUCGGACUGGCGGUCUUGGACUGGGUUCCAUCUGCUAUCUAACUCCAGCAAUGGGGGGCUGUGGACUCGCCAUGACGAGACGGAAAGAUGUCCAAACUUGAUCAUUUAGAGGAAGUAAAAGUCGUAACAAGGUUUCC
RNAcentral lists this ribosomal RNA (1476 nucleotides) under Pasiphaea telacantha. Its description in RNAcentral is "SSU rRNA". It matches the Rfam family "Eukaryotic small subunit ribosomal RNA", at positions 394 to 1804 of the family's 1831-position model. The record is from RNAcentral. Lineage: Eukaryota; Metazoa; Arthropoda; Malacostraca; Decapoda; Pasiphaeidae.